Molecule: ribosomal RNA, 497 nt
Filed under: uncultured bacterium
Lineage: Bacteria
Description: partial 16S ribosomal RNA
Rfam family: Bacterial small subunit ribosomal RNA
Source: RNAcentral
GACGAACGCUGGCGGCGUGCCUAAUACAUGCAAGUAGAACGCUGAAGCGAGGAGCUUGCUCUUCUUGGAUGAGUUGCGAACGGGUGAGUAACGCGUAGGUAACCUGCCUGGUAGCGGGGGAUAACUAUUGGAAACGAUAGCUAAUACCGCAUAAAAUGGAUUAUCGCAUGAUAAUCCAUUGAAAGGUGCAAAUGCAUCACUACCAGAUGGACCUGCGUUGUAUUAGCUAGUUGGUGGGGUAACGGCUCACCAAGGCGACGAUACAUAGCCGACCUGAGAGGGUGAUCGGCCACACUGGGACUGAGACACGGCCCAGACUCCUACGGGAGGCAGCAGUAGGGAAUCUUCGGCAAUGGACGGAAGUCUGACCGAGCAACGCCACGUGAGUGAAGAAGGUUUUCGGAUCGUAAAGCUCUGUUGUAAGAGAAGAACGAGUGUGAGAGUGGAAAGUUCACACUGUGACGGUAUCUUACCAGAAAGGGACGGCUAACUACGUG